Molecule: long non-coding RNA, 861 nt
Filed under: Polistes fuscatus (common paper wasp)
Lineage: Eukaryota; Metazoa; Arthropoda; Insecta; Hymenoptera; Vespidae
Description: uncharacterized LOC122515853, transcript variant X1
Source: RNAcentral
UAAAAUAGGAAUAAUUUUCUAUUUAAAUUUCUAAUAUAAUAAAGUAUAGUUUUUUUCCGCGUUAUUAAAUCAUGUUACCACAAUCGAGAAAAUCUUGAUUUCACUAUAAGAGAUAUAUACAUCGAUACGAAAGAAACUAAGAAGAUAAGUGGGUGAUAUACCUUGGAAGGAGAGAAGCCGAUUCCAAAACGGAAAGAACAACUAUUAGAUGCACGAUAUACGGUAGAGAGGCUGUAUAAUUGUAGGAGAAGUGAAAGAAGAAACGAGAAACGUGGUCUCAGCGGUAAGAGUGUAUACCUCAAGGGGGAAAUCGAGAUCGCACAUGACUAACGAGUACUCAUCUCGGUUUCUUCAUGUAGGUCGUUACAACUUCAUUCAUUAACUCCUUGAUCCCACUCGAUAGAGAAAUAAAAAGAAAGAUAUAAUAAAAAAUGAAAGAGAAGAGAAAGAAUGAAGGAAAGAAAGAAAGAGAUACUAGAAAACUCUAGGAUUUAAUCACGAACUAAUUACCCUUAAGGAUAAUGAUUUUUCCUAGGAAGAAGAAAAUUAUCAAAAGAAAUGAAAUGAAAUGAAAUAAAGAGAAACAUCUUGGAGAAACAUCUUCGAGAUAUAUCGACUUUUACGUUGUAACAUCUAAAAGUGGAGAAUUAACUUCUUCCUACUAUGGUGGAAGAAUCCGAUGGUACGAGUCUAACGGGACGACGACGAGGAUGAGGACGACAAGAAGAUUAAAACAUGCUGAUUUCACCUACGUGAAAAUUCAUCUCUCCGAUUGAAUAUUUUGCCGAAGGGAUGAAUAAAUUAUCGCCGAGGUGAGAACAAAAAUGUGUAUUUUAAUAAAUAAAAAAGAAAUUAAACGCA